ACACAGAAUCACAUCCCCCCUCUGUUUAUAAUGAUAAAAAAAAGGAAAACUAGGGUUGAAAUUGGAUCUGCAGACAUCGGAGAGGGCUUAGUCGAAGAAGAAGAAGAAGAAGACUGCAAAUGGCGCCUCCUCCUGGUCCUUAUUCCGGAACGAGUACCUUCGCUCUGGUGGCUCGUGUGUCGGCCUUCUCCAUCGGGCUUGUCUAUGGAAGCGUGAAGCUCAAGUAUCUAAAGGCAAAGGCUAAAUCUCAUAAGAAGGCUGAAGCUAAGGCACAUCACUAAAGCAGAGAACCUUUUUUUUCUUUUACCCCUUUAGUUCUGAUAGAAAAAAUAAUGUAUGAUGUAGAGUAACCAUCAAUUCGUCUUGGCCUGAAAUAUUUUUGGAUCAUGAUUUGCUCAUUGUGAGAAUUUUCACUCGUUUUUGUCUUCAGUCACUGCCAAAGCACUUCAGUGCUUGUUAUCUGUGAAGAAAGUUGGGAGAUGAUGUAAUUACGUCUUCCUUCAUGAGGUUAUUCCAUGUUUCACCCUCAGAUACAUGAUCUUACUGCAGGCAUUUAGCUUUUUAUUUAUAUUCAGUUAUUUCUUCAUAUGUGCCUACAUUUUAAUUGAAAUGAUGGUAAAAGAAGUGCUAUGUUUUGAUCAGGUGUGUGGCAUAACUUGUACAAAACCUAGAGGCAAAAAGAAAUCAAACCAGGAUUUCCUAUUUCUUUUAGGGCUAAAUAUGCUUUCCUGGUAUUGUCUGCUGGUUCAUAGUGGGGUAGCGUGUCCUUAAAGGCUGUCAUAUUUAUUGUUACGGA
Molecule: long non-coding RNA, 796 nt
Organism: Diospyros lotus (date-plum)
Lineage: Eukaryota; Viridiplantae; Streptophyta; Magnoliopsida; Ericales; Ebenaceae
Exons: 4
Source: RefSeq, a predicted model, not a curated record